UGCUGCUGGUCAAACUCGAGGCUGACGC
RNAcentral lists this non-coding RNA (28 nucleotides) under Homo sapiens (human). Lineage: Eukaryota; Metazoa; Chordata; Mammalia; Primates; Hominidae. The record is from RNAcentral.